GGUGAAAAGCACCCCGGAAGGGGAGUGAAAUAGAACCUGAAACCGUGUGCUUACAAGUAGUCAGAGCCCGUUAAUGGGUGAUGGCGUGCCUUUUGUAGAAUGAACCGGCGAGUUACGAUUUGAUGCAAGGUUAAGCAGUAAAUGUGGAGCCGUAGCGAAAGCGAGUCUGAAUAGGGCGUUUAGUAUUUGGUCGUAGACCCGAAACCAGGUGAUCUACCCUUGGUCAGGUUGAAGUUCAGGUAACACUGAAUGGAGGACCGAACCGACUUACGUUGAAAAGUGAGCGGAUGAACUGAGGGUAGCGGAGAAAUU
RNAcentral lists this ribosomal RNA (312 nucleotides) under Staphylococcus aureus. RNAcentral describes it as "partial 23S ribosomal RNA". It matches the Rfam family "Bacterial large subunit ribosomal RNA", at positions 513 to 828 of the family's 2925-position model. Lineage: Bacteria; Bacillati; Bacillota; Bacilli; Caryophanales; Staphylococcaceae. The record is from RNAcentral.